RNAcentral lists this ribosomal RNA (526 nucleotides) under uncultured bacterium. RNAcentral describes it as "bacterial SSU rRNA". It matches the Rfam family "Bacterial small subunit ribosomal RNA", at positions 777 to 1304 of the family's 1533-position model. The record is from RNAcentral.
AAUAGAUACCCCGGUAGUCCACGCCGUAAACGAUGUCGACUUGGAGGUUGUUCCCUUGAGGAGUGGCUUCCGGAGCUAACGCGUUAAGUCGACCGCCUGGGGAGUACGGCCGCAAGGUUAAAACUCAAAUGAAUUGACGGGGGCCGCACAAGCGGUGGAGCAUGUGGUUUAAUUCGAUGCAACGCGAAGAACCUUACCUACUCUUGACAUCCAGAGAACUUAGCAGAGAUGCUUUGGUGCCUUCGGGAACUCUGAGACAGGUGCUGCAUGGCUGUCGUCAGCUCGUGUUGUGAAAUGUUGGGUUAAGUCCCGCAACGAGCGCAACCCUUAUCCUUUGUUGCCAGCGGUUCGGCCGGGAACUCAAAGGAGACUGCCAGUGAUAAACUGGAGGAAGGUGGGGAUGACGUCAAGUCAUCAUGGCCCUUACGAGUAGGGCUACACACGUGCUACAAUGGCGUAUACAAAGAGAAGCGACCUCGCGAGAGCAAGCGGACCUCAUAAAGUACGUCGUAGUCCGGAUUGGAGU